This 73-nucleotide transfer RNA is filed under the name Bos taurus (domestic cattle). It matches the Rfam family "tRNA". Rfam says of the family: Transfer RNA (tRNA) molecules are approximately 80 nucleotides in length. Their secondary structure includes four short double-helical elements and three loops (D, anti-codon, and T loops). Lineage: Eukaryota; Metazoa; Chordata; Mammalia; Artiodactyla; Bovidae. The record is from Rfam by way of RNAcentral. RNAcentral also lists the same sequence under 3 other names.
UCCCUGGUGGUCCAGUGGCUCAGACUCCAUGUUCCCAACUCAGGAGGCCCAGGUUUGAUUCCUGGUCAGGGAA